CCCCUUUCUCUGCCCCCCGCCCCCGAGCCGCGGCCAUGGACCCGGCAGAUCUGGCUUGCCCUGGCCCAGCUCAACACCUGAUUUCGGUCCAUGUGUGAGGUGGCUUCAGCCUUCCAACGUCCUUCUCCACUCAUGCCUCUGAAGAGAGAGAACCUAGAGAGGUGACGUCGUGGGCUGCAGAGGAGUAGGUACUUCAUGGCAGGCAGGUAGAAACCUAUGCCCUGAGAGUUAGAAACUCAGCCCUGAUCUUCCUAGUCUGCUGUGUGACCUUAGCCAAGAUAGUUUGCCUCUCGGAGGCUCAGUCUCUUUCCCCUUUAAAAUUUAGUGGGACUAGAAAGGUCUAAAAUUCCCUUUCACUUUUUUAUAUUGGAUGGUUCCACUGGUGGGUCACUAGAAGGGAGAACGGUCCUUUGGCAGGGUGGCUCCAUGUAGAGAGCUAAGGAGGUGGUUGUCACAGUUACUUAGGAUUAAAGAAGCAGACUCCCUCAUCCUGCCUGGCUGUUCUCAAAACAGUCAUUGUUCUACACACUCCUGGUGCCUUGGGAUAUGAACUCCUGCUGGCAUGGGUUUGGCCCACCCAUCAAGACCUCUGGUGAGACAUCCUGGCUGGGCCACUCUUUGAGUUGGGCCUUUGGGGAGGGGUUGAGAAUAGAGGAGGCAGCCAAGGGCCAGCAGGAUUCCCAGGAGACAGCUUGCAUCCCAGCUGUUGGGACUUGUUUUAGGUUCUGGGCCAGGGAGCACAGCGUACUCAGCUACUCUGUGGGAAGAGGGCAAGGAGGGCCCCCACUGCUGUUUCCCAUCCCACUCCCUGGCCCUUCCUACCUGGCUCUGGACUCAGAACCCCAGCCCCUAGGCAGGGAGCUAAGGAAUCAUCCCACUGCCCUCAUCCAGCCAAGGAGCAUCGAAGAGAAGCUGUCCUGACCCCACCUUUCCCAGCCUCUUUGUUCCUGGGGAUAGGACUUUCUCAAAGUCAAUCUCUCCAGGUUGAGACUUGCUCCCCAGCCCAAGAGGCAAAAGGCCUCCUGUUCUUCUUGUUUGUUUUCAUCUUUGGUCUCCCAGGUAAAGAGGAAUGUUAAAGGAGAAGUGGUGGUUAAAGAGGCCCUGGGACUGGCUGGGUAUGAGGCACAUUCUCCUGCACUGCUUUUCCCUCUGCCUACUCUCCUGGGCCUGGGAACCCUCUGCCCAGGACACUGUUGGUGAAGUUGCCACAGGAGGCAUUUAUGUUAGACCCCAAAGAAACCUUCCUCACUGCUGUGCGCCCUUGGAAUGGAUAAUGAAAGCUCCCACGGAGGUCAUUUUCCCAGAAAGUGGCUCAUAGUGGAAUCCCUGUCGGUGAAGGAUGCAGCUGUUGCUAGGCAGAGACUGCUGUUCCUUCUUGGGGUGUGGCUGUAGGCUAGCCAGCCAGAGGCUCCGUUAGAAGUAGGAGGAGAAAGGACUCUUGCCUCAUAGUCAGAGUGGGGUUACUGGCAUUCUGGGGUGACCAGAGCUGCCUCUCUCAGAACAAAUGUCCAUUCUCACUCCUGCUUCCCCCAGUCUCUUCCCCAAGUCACUGUUACUACCACAAUCUGCUUUGACAGCCCUCAUCCGAACCUGGCAGGCGACUCCAGCCUGUCUGGCUACACUAAUGGAUGAUUGGAUUUUCUAUACUUGGAGUUUGGGAUUUCUGAUUGAACAUGCAAAUUUAUGUAAAUCGACCUGAGAUCUGCCACCACAUCAAAACAGCACAGAGCUUCCACAGGCUGGAAGAAAUCCUAGAGACACUCUAGUCCAAUGCCCUUACAUUAAAAGUGGGGAAACUUGGGCCGGGGAUUUAGCUCAGUGGUUACAGCGCCUGCCUUGAAAGCUCAAGGUCCCGAGUUCGAUCCCUGGUGACAAAAAAAAAAAAAAAAAAAAAAAAAAAAAAUGGGGAAACUGAAGUCCAGAGCGGGAAGUGAUUCAUAUGGUGGUAUCAGAGGCAGGACUGUUGACUCUGGUCUGUUAAGUUUUAUGUUAGCAUUCUGCCUUUAUUUUUCAUUCAUGUGGGACCCUGGUUGUAUUUAAAGCAGAGAAGGCCAGUUGUUGAACCUAGAUUCCAGAGAGGGGCCCUAGAGGGUUAGAGUAUUAUCCCAAGGUCUCCCAGGAAUGCUAGUCUGAUUUCUAUAAUGCUGAAGAAAACUUCAAAUCUCCCUUAAUAUUUCCCCUUUGACACCAUCCUGGAGGAUAAGGUCAUUAGUUACUGUCUGGAUUGGUAAGGGUUUCCUUGGAGUUUAGAUUGUAUCUGCCACAGUGCUCAGCGCAUGGUAGUCUGGGGGUGAAUAUGAAAUACCUCCAUCUUUACCAUUCCCUCCUAGUUUGAGUCUCUGCUUUUCCCUCUGUGGCUACAGUGGGAAAAGAUCUUUGAUCUUCUAUGACUUUGCCCUUCCCACCCUGCCCAUUUAGAGUAAAUAGGUCAAGUGGGCCUUCUAUGCAAGUUUCUACAAGGACCAGAGAGGUCUUGGUGUAGGGAGCCCCUCAUUAUUUUAGGACUGGUGCCAAGGAUGAGUGGGGGCUAUAGAGAUGAGCUUGGGGUUCAAGAACAGUCUCCCCGACCCCCCUCUUUUUCAGGGCUGAUUGUUAAAUUUAGGGCAUAAUGCAUGAUAGGCAAGCCACUGAGCUACAUCCCCACUUCUUGACCUGUUCUUGGUCUGAUCCCUCUGCCCAGCUGCCAGAUAUCCCCCACUCCCUCUUCACAGACUCUGCCUGUAGCUUGGGGCUGUUUGAACCCUCACUUACCCUCUGGUGCCAGAGUGUACUGUAGAGAUGGUGGAGAUGCUUAGGCAGCCUUUGGCCUGCUGUGCUGUACCCUGGGAAGCUGAUGCAAAGGCUCAAGAACAGAAGCAGAAGCACUGACUCUCAGCCAGAGCUACGUACCAGACCCUGCUACUACAGCCUGGGGAGGGCCUUGGGACAUGUAUCUGGUGUCUUUCCUCAUCUUCUCCCCAAACUCAGGUCUGGAAUGAAUACCCCUAUAUUCAGCAUCUUCCCAAAACACAGCUGGUGUGGAGCAGGCACCCCUAGUUCCCCCCUGCUCAGCAGCCCUUGGCAGCUAGGUCCUUAGCUCCAUGUGAGGUGAGAUCCUUUUCCCUGGGCCUCAGUUUCCCAGCCAGUGCUCAUGGAUUAAUAAUACAUCAUCAUUGGGGUGUGGCACCUGCUCCAUAAUUACUGUUUUCCCAGCUCUGGGAGUUACACAGAUGAAAGAGCCCUGUGGAGGCCAGGCUGUUAUUAAGGUGAAUUAUCAUUGCUGUUAUUACUGAUUUCUAAAAACCCAGCUGCUGAGAGGAACCCAGUCAGGCACACCACCCUGAACUGUGUGCUGGUCCUUGAACUCUGCGAGUUCUCUAAUACUCACUAAGCUUUAAAAAAUAAGUAGAAAUAAAUAUAAUUAUAGCAAUUUAAAAAGCAGGGAAGACCCCGUUCUGCUGUUCCUGCUGU
This 3450-nucleotide long non-coding RNA is filed under the name Heterocephalus glaber (naked mole-rat). RNAcentral's name for it is "lncRNA (ENSHGLG00100052520.1)". The record is from RNAcentral. Lineage: Eukaryota; Metazoa; Chordata; Mammalia; Rodentia; Bathyergidae.